AGUGAACGCUGGCGGUAGGCCUAACACAUGCCAGUCGAACGGCAGCACAGUAAGAGCUUGCUCUUACGGGUGGCGAGUGGCGGACGGGUGAGGAAUACAUCGGAAUCUACUUUUUCGUGGGGGAUAACGUAGGGAAACUUACGCUAAUACCGCAUACGACCUACGGGUGAAAGCAGGGGAUCUUCGGACCUUGCGCGAUUGAAUGAGCCGAUGUCGGAUUAGCUAGUUGGCGGGGUAAAGGCCCACCAAGGCGACGAUCCGUAGCUGGUCUGAGAGGAUGAUCAGCCACACUGGAACUGAGACACGGUACAGACUCCUACGGGAGGCAGCAGUGGGGAAUAUUGGACAAUGGGCGCAAGCCUGAUCCAGCCAUACCGCGUGAGUGAAGAAGACCUUCGGGUUGUAAAGCCCUUUUGUUGGGAAAGAAAAGCAGCAGGUUAAUACCCCGCUGUUCUGACGGUACCCAAAGAAUAAGCACCGGCUAACUUCGUG
Molecule: ribosomal RNA, 492 nt
Filed under: uncultured bacterium
Lineage: Bacteria
Description: partial 16S ribosomal RNA
Rfam family: Bacterial small subunit ribosomal RNA
Source: RNAcentral